Molecule: ribosomal RNA, 592 nt
Filed under: uncultured fungus
Lineage: Eukaryota; Fungi
Description: eukaryotic LSU rRNA
Rfam family: Eukaryotic large subunit ribosomal RNA
Source: RNAcentral
AUAUCAAUAAGCGGAGGAAAAGAAACCAACAGGGAUUGCCCUAGUAACGGCGAGUGAAGCGGCAACAGCUCAAAUUUGAAAUCUGGCGCUUUCAGCGUCCGAGUUGUAAUUUGCAGAGGGCGCUUUGGCGUUGGCAGCGGUCCAAGUUCCUUGGAACAGGUCGUCACAGAGGGUGAGAAUCCCGUACGUGGCCGCAGGUCUUCGCCGUGUAAAGCCCCUUCGACGAGUCGAGUUGUUUGGGAAUGCAGCUCUAAAUGGGAGGUAAAUUUCUUCUAAAGCUAAAUACUGGCCAGAGACCGAUAGCGCACAAGUAGAGUGAUCGAAAGAUGAAAAGCACUUUGGAAAGAGAGUCAAACAGCACGUGAAGUUGUUGAAAGGGAAGCGCUUGCAGCCAGACUUGCCUGCCGUUGCUCAUCCGGGCUUUUGCCCGGUGCACUCUUCGGUAGGCAGGCCAGCAUCAGUUUGGGCGGUGGGAUAAAGGUCUCUGUCACGUACCUCCUCUCGGGGAGGCCUUAUAGGGGAGACGCCAUGCCACCAGUCUGGACUGAGGUCCGCGCAUCUGCUAGGAUGCUGGCGUAAUGGCUGUAAGCGG